This 380-nucleotide long non-coding RNA is filed under the name Vitis vinifera (wine grape). RNAcentral's name for it is "long non-coding RNA (VVIN_LNC001109)". The record is from RNAcentral. Lineage: Eukaryota; Viridiplantae; Streptophyta; Magnoliopsida; Vitales; Vitaceae.
AUCAAUGUCGUGUUCGCAUCCAAUGAGAGUAUAUAAGAAUCUCACAUCGGAUGUAAAUGAGAGUAUAAAUCAAUAUCGCUGACCAGACUGGAUCAGGCUCUGACUGUUUCAAUAUCGCUGACCAGACUGGAACAGGCUCUGACUGUUUUGACAUGUUAAUGAGGAGAUUUUAAAUUUAAAUUUUAUUCUACCCAAGCUGGUGGUUAGAAGGUCUGAAUAAAUAGUUUUUGCAAAAUUGAGUAUACAUGUCACUCAUAAUUUUAUUUUUAUUCUACCCAGGUUGGUGGUUAGAAGUUCUUAAUCAAAAUAGUUUUCUCCAAUAUCUCAAACUCAAAAUGUCAUCAUAUAUGAACAAAAACUAAAAACAAAACAAAAAUAAU